RNAcentral lists this long non-coding RNA (212 nucleotides) under Vigna radiata. RNAcentral's name for it is "long non-coding RNA (VRAD_LNC018026)". The record is from RNAcentral. Lineage: Eukaryota; Viridiplantae; Streptophyta; Magnoliopsida; Fabales; Fabaceae.
GGGACAAUCACUAUUCCCUGUAAGUUGCCGGGGCAUUACAAGUGGUAUCAGACCCUAGCCUCUCCCAGUAAGGAGGCACGAAGUGCAAGAGGCACAAACAAAGAGCUUGGAGUAAUUUAGGGAUGGGUGACCUUCUGGGAAGUUUUCCCGGAAAGUGUACGAGUGAGGACAAAGCACAUUGAAAAGCCUUGUGUUGAUGUGUGGGGGCAAUC